GAAGGGUGCUCAGAAGUCACCAGUCCAACCUCCUACUGAGAGCAGCAUCACCUCUGAUCUCAGACCAGUUGCUCAGGGUUUUAUCCAGUCAGGUCUGGAUGGAAAGCACAGCUUCCCUAGGGAACUUGCUCCAAUUCUGAUCUGGUAGGGAAAAAUAGUUUAUGGGAUCCAGUAAGAACUUUAAUGACAGAGACACAUUUAUAUUGUUGUGCACUAUUGGGAUAGAUCUGCCACAGGAAUUGGGGAAUUCCACAUUUAUUGUUACCUUUAUGACUGGAUAAUUUUCUGGGAAACAUGUCUUUUAUCAAAGAGAUGUGCAGUCCUGUACGGCUCAGUCUUGGAGCUGGGAUGUGGAAAUCUGUCCUUCCACCUCUUCUCUGAAAAUUUCAUUUGGCAAGAUGGCAACCCCAACCACUGUGAAGAGAGUAUCCUGGAAUGCACAAUAGGAAGCUGCUGGGCAGCUGGGCAUGCCAUGGGCUGUUCUCCCAGAUGCUCCUCUGCCAGUCUUUGAGGGUUCUGGAGAUGCAUCUGCUGUUUCCUACAGAGCCACAGAUGAGGAAAGAAGGCCUAGCUACUUCCCUUCAGCAACUAGGUGUGCUUCUCCUGAAAUCAGAGGGAUCUGCAGAAUCUUAAAAAGGAAAGGUUUCUGGGCCCUCCAUCCUUCUAUGCAACUAUGGUCCACUGAGAAUGGUGGCCUUGGAGGAACUGGUGUUGCACUGAAUAAUCUAUAAUUCCCUGCUUGUGGCUGGAUUUGUUUUUAAAGUUCAUACAGAAAUCAUCUCCAGGAAGCCAGUCCUUAAGCUGAAAACUAGGAAGGAGGAGUCUUGAAAAGGUUCCUGCACCUGCUAUGGCCAACUGGUGAUGGCUCAGCCCUCAGUGUGUGCUGGGAGGGAUGGCCAGUGGCUGCAGUCCAAAGGGGAGUGUCACUGCUGCAUUGCUUUUGAGAUGACCACAACAGUGGGAUUUGGCUCAUAAAGGUUGGUUUGCUUUCAUCCAGUUCAGAGAUAUGAGAGGUGCAUAGGAAUAAGCUGUAGAAAGCUAUAAAAGUACUCUAAAGGAGGUUGAUUUAUU
Molecule: long non-coding RNA, 1071 nt
Organism: Junco hyemalis (dark-eyed junco)
Lineage: Eukaryota; Metazoa; Chordata; Aves; Passeriformes; Passerellidae
Source: Ensembl